Long non-coding RNA from Acinonyx jubatus (cheetah), 1122 nucleotides. RefSeq lists it as uncharacterized. The transcript has 3 exons. The record is from RefSeq and is a predicted model, not a curated record. Lineage: Eukaryota; Metazoa; Chordata; Mammalia; Carnivora; Felidae.
GGGACGGUUAAGCCGGGUGUCUCCUCCAAAGCCGCCCGGCCGGCAAACGAGGCCUCGCUGAAGAAAGGUUCUACUGCGCCAAGUUGGCCCAUCCCCAAUUCGGGCCUGAAUGUCCUCGUUGCCCUUGACGCCUGGAGCCUCCUCCUCGCCCCCACGCGGCCCAGGGGCUCCCCAGCAGGGAGAGGGACAGAGUCGGGGAGUUGAGGCGAUACCACCGGUGGGCUAGGGGGCCCGUCCGGUUUUACCAUAGACGGGUUGGCAUGAUGGCAACAUGCAAGCUCCUUCACCCAGCCUGGUCCUGCAAAGGAGUGCAGGAGCCUUCAUUAAUGUUGGAGAUUUCAGGAGAAGAGGACAGUGAGUUGGCACCAGAAGCUUCGGAGUGAGGGGGACCACAGGAUGCCCUCAAAUCGUACCGCAGGAAAAGCAGUCUUUUCCUCACAUAUGUCUGGCCAUACGGCUUCAGCAUUCCGUCAGGGCCACAGCCCCGAAGCCCAUAACCAUGGCGCCACCCAGGCCUGCCCUCUAGCCUGGAACCUGCAACACAGCCCUCAUUAUGCCCUUUGAUGUGACACUCAAAACUGAGCCCCUGCUCUUCAAGCCAGACAGGCCCUGGCCUUGGGGCUUUUUCCAUUUCUGAGGCAUGAUUCAGCCCAGGAGACAAGACCAGACACCUUCGUUCAGAGGAAGGAGGGCUGGAUGGUGCAUGGAGAGGAAGAAAAAUAGGAGUGAGAAUGGGGCUGCAGGGUUGGGGGGGGGCGGGAGGAGCAAGCAGAGGGAGCCCACCUGCUCCAGAGCUGCACAGAACACGGCCACCCACUGACCAAUUUAUAUUCCAUGUAGCCAAAUCUAUUGAUUUAAACGUGAAUCCAACUGUGCUUCUAAAUUCCCAGAAAAAUACUGAUAACAUUUCACAUUUAUGUCAUACAAUGUGAGUGUCAAAACACUUUCACACGAAAAACCUUAAAUUUGAGUUGAUUUUUCAGAUAAUUUGCUUUUCUUCUUACAAAGCAGCAUAUGCUUAUUGAGAAAUAUAGGAGAAAAAAUUUUAACGUAAAUUUAAAAAUUGCAAAUAUGUAUGCGUUAUACCACUAGCUAUAACAUUUUCAGCAGAGUUUUGCAUAA